CGAACGCCGGGCCAGCAGGCGCGGUAAGAGGGGGGGAGCAAGCGGUGUUCGGAGUUACUGGGCGGAAAGGGCGCGUAGGCGGCCAUCGCAAGUCAGUUGUGAAAGCGCUGGGCUUAACCCAGAAAGGUCAACUGAUACUGCGGGGCUAGAGUGCAGAAGGGGCAACUGGAAUUCUCGGUGUAGCGGUGAAAUGCGUAGAUAUCGAGAGGAACACCUGCGGCGAAGGCGGGUUGCUGGGCUGACACUGACGCUGAUGCGCGAAAGCUAGGGGAGCGAACGGGAUUAGAUACCCGAGUAGUC
RNAcentral lists this ribosomal RNA (300 nucleotides) under uncultured Adlercreutzia sp. RNAcentral's name for it is "bacterial SSU rRNA". It matches the Rfam family "Bacterial small subunit ribosomal RNA", at positions 497 to 795 of the family's 1533-position model. The record is from RNAcentral. Lineage: Bacteria; Bacillati; Actinomycetota; Coriobacteriia; Eggerthellales; Eggerthellaceae.